GACGAACGCUGGCGGCGUGCUUAACACAUGCAAGUCGAACGGAAAGGCCCUGCUUUUGUGGGGUGCUCGAGUGGCGAACGGGUGAGUAACACGUGAGUAACCUGCCCUUGACUUUGGGAUAACUUCAGGAAACUGGGGCUAAUACCGGAUAGGAGCUCCUGCUGCAUGGUGGGGGUUGGAAAGAUUCGGCGGUUGGGGAUGGACUGGCGGCUUAUUAGCUUGUCGGUGGGGUAGUGGCUUACCAAGGCUUUGACGGGUAGCCGGCCUGAGGGGGUGACCGGCCACAUUGGGACUGAGAUACGGCCCAGACUCCUACGGGAGGCAGCAGUGGGGAAUAUUGCACAAUGGGCGGAAGCCUGAUGCAGCAACGCCGCGUGCGGGAUGACGGCCUUCGGGUUGUAAACCGCUUUCGCCUGUGACGAAGCGUGAGUGACGGUAAUGGGUAAAGAAGCACCGGCUAACUACGUG
RNAcentral lists this ribosomal RNA (468 nucleotides) under uncultured bacterium. RNAcentral describes it as "partial 16S ribosomal RNA". It matches the Rfam family "Bacterial small subunit ribosomal RNA", at positions 28 to 507 of the family's 1533-position model. The record is from RNAcentral.